CGAUUACCAAAUUUUACUGAUUAUAAUAUCCAUUCAUCAACUAGUUUCAAUCUGCUGAAUACUAACGGCCAUAUGGUUCUUUCAAUGUGCAUUUGUAAGCAUAGGCAUGCUAAGCUUUUUUCAUUACCAACACUAAAGUAUAAUUACAAAAUAUGAAACCAUAAAUCAAAAAUCACACUUUUCAAAAAAUACUUGUUGUAAACAAGAACAUAAACAAUCGAAAGAUUAUUAAGCAAACGAAAUAAGUGUAAUGGCGUUUGGAGGCGAAUUUGUGAUGAAUUGAAAGGGGAUUGUAGGCGAAAGGAAAUUUGGAAAAGCGCCGAACAUUACAAUCAAAUACAAACCAACUUUCAAGAACAAAAUUCGUACUAUGAUGCCAUUUUAAAAUUUAAUGUAUAGGACUAAGGAAUGACAAGGCACCCUACAGAGUACCUGCAGGUUUUUCAGAGACAUCGUAUAUAAAGCUCCCUUAUUUGCAUCCAGCCCUUACAUGAUAAAUAGAAGAAAGUAAUAAGAAGAUGGUUAAGGAGAUAGAAGAACUAAACCUAGAUUAUAUAAUCGGAUAUAGCUUUUCUACGUUUUUUCUGCAGCGCUUCCCAAACCCUAGAUACAUGCCUAGAUGGAGAUGGAGUUCUUACCAUUUAUAGGCCUACCAAACAAUGGUUUUGACCAAAUUAUUUCCACAGUCUUUCUAUCCUAAUUUCUUACUUCAUUUUAGAUGAUAUAUUCCCCUGUUAUUGCAACAACAAAAAACACUUAUUUUUGUAUUUUAAGAUCAUUUUUUAAGAUCUUAAAAUACAAAAACCCGAUUACCGAAUUUUAUUGAUUAUAAUAUUUAUUAAUCAACUAGUUUCAAUCUGCUGAAUACCAACGGCCAUAUGGUUCUUUCAAUGUGCAUUUGUAAGCAUAGGCACCCCAUGCUAAGCCUUUUUCAUUACCAACACUAAAGUAUAAUUACAAAAUAUGAAAUCAUGAAUCAAAAAUUACUCUUCUCAAAAAAUACUUGUUGUAAACAAGGACAAAAAGAAUCAAAAGAUAAUAAUAAGCAAACGAAAGAAAUGUAAUGGCGUUUGGAGGCGAAUUUGUGACGAAUUGAAAGGGGAUUGUAGGCGAAAGAAAAUUUGGAAAAGCGCCGAACAUCACAAUCAAAUACAAACCAACUUUCAACAACGAAAUUCAUACAAUGAUACCAUUUUAAAAUUUAAUGUAUAGGGCUAAGGAAUGACAAGGCACCCUACAGAGUACCUGCAGGUUUUUCAGAACCAUCAUAUAUAAAGCUCUCCCCUAUUUGCAUCCAACCCUUACAUGAUAUAGAAGAAAGUAAUAAGAAGAUGGUUAAGAAGAUAGAAGAACUAAACCUAGAUUAUAUAAUCGGAUAUGGCUUUUCUACAUUUUUUCGGCUGUGGUACCCAAACCCCAGAUACAUACAUAGAUGGAGAUGAACUUCUUACCAUUUAUAGGCCCAGCAAACAAUGGUUUUGACCAAAUUAUUUUCAUCGUCUUUCUAUCCUAAUUUCUUACUCCAUUUUAGAUGAUAUAUUUUCCCCUGUUAUUGCAACAACAAAAAACACUUAUUUUUGUAUUUUAAGAUCAUUUUUUAAGAUCUUAAAAUACAAAAACCUGAUUACCGAAUUUUAUUGAUUAUAAUAUCCAUUCAUCAAUUAGCUUCAAUCCGUUGAAUACCAACGGCCAUAUGGUUCUUUCAAUGUGCAUUUGUAAGCAUAGGCACCCCAUGCUAAGCCUUUUUCAUUACCAACACUAAAGUAUAAUUACAAAAUAUGAAAUCAUGAAUCAAAAAUUACUCUUCUCAAAAAAUACUUGUUGUAAACAAGGACAAAAAGAAUCAAAAAAUAAUAAUAAGCAAACGAAAGAAAUGUAAUGGCGUUUGGAGGCGAAUUUGUGACGAAUUGAAAGGGGAUUGUAGGCGAGAGAAAAUUUGGCAAAGCGUCGAACAUCACAAUCAAAUACAAACCAACUUUCAAGCACGAAAUCCGUACUAUGAUACCAUUUUAAAAUUUAAUGUAUAGGGCUAUGGAAUGACAAGGCACCCUAUAGAGUACCUGCAAGUUCUUCAUAGCCAUCGUAUAUAAAGCUCUCCCCUAUUUGCAUCAAGCCCUUACAUGAUAUAGAAGAAAGUAAUAAGAAGAUGGUUAAGGAGAUAGAAGAAUUAAACCUAGAUUAUAUAAUCUGAUAUGGCUUUUCUACAUUUUUUCGACUGCGCUUCCCAAACCCUAGAUACAUACAUAGAUGGAGAUGAACUUCUUGCCAUUAAUAGGCCCAGCAAACAAUGGUUUUGACCAAAUUAUUUCCACCGUCUUUCUAUCCUAAUUUCUUACUCCAUUUUAGAUGAUAUAUUCCCUUUUUAUUGCAACAACAAUAAAACACUUAUUUUUGUAUUUUAAGAUCAUUUUUUAAGAUCUUAAAUUCCAAAAACCCGAUUACCGAAUUUUACUGAUUAUAAUAUCCAUUCAUCAACUAGUUUCAAUCUGCUGAAUACCAACGGCCAUAUGGUUCUUUCAAUGUGCAUUUGUAAGCAUAGGCACCUUAUGCUAAGCCUUUUUCAUUACUAACACUAAAGUAUAAUUACAAAAUAUGAAACCAUGAAUCAAAAACCACUCUUUUCAAAAAAUACUUGUUGCAAACAAGGACAAAAAGAAUCGAAAGAUAAUAAUAAGCAAACGAAAGAAAUGUAAUGGCGUUUGGAGGCGAAUUUGUGACGAAUUGAAAGGGGAUUGUAGGCGAAAGAAAAUUUGGCAAAGCGCCGAACAUCACAAUCAAAUACAAACCAACUUUCAAGCACGAAAUCCGUACUAUGAUACCAUUUUAAAAUUUAAUGUAUAGGGCUAAGGAAUGACAAGGCACCCUACAGAAUACCUGCAGGUUUUUCAGAGCCAUCGUAUAUAAAGCUCUCCCCUAUUUGCAUCCAGCCCUUACAUGAUAUAGAAGAAAGUAAUAAGAAGAUGGUUAAGAAGAUAGAAGAACUAAACCUAGAUUAUAUAAUCAGAUAUGGCUUUUCUACAUUUUUUCGGAUGCGCUUCCCAAACCAUAGAUACAUACAUAGAUGGAGAUGAACUUCUUGCCAUUAAUAGGCCCAGCAAACAAUGGUUUUGACCAAAUUAUUUUCACCGUCUUUCUAUCCUAAUUUCUUACUCCAUUUUAGAUGAUAUAUUCCAAUGUUAUUACAACAACAUAAAACACUUAUUUUUGUAUUUUAUGAUCAUUUUUUAAGAUCUUAAAAUACAAAAACCCGAUUACCGGAUUUUAUUAAUUAUAAUAUUCAUUCAUCUACUAGCUUCAAUCUGUUGAAUACCAACGGCCAUAUGGUUCUUUCAAUGUGCAUUUAUAAGCUUAGGCACCCCAUGCUAAGCCUUUUUCAUUACCAACACUAAAAUAUAAUUACAAAAUAUGAAACCAUGAAUCAAAAAUCACUCUUUUCAAAAAAUACUUGUUGUACACAAGGACAUAAAGAAUCGAAAGAUAAUAAUAAGCAAACGAAAGAAAUGUAAUUGUGUUUAGAGGCGAAUUUGUGACGAAUUGAAAGGGGAUUGUAGACGAAAGGAAAUUUGGCAAAACGUCGAACAUCACAAUCAAAUACAAACCAACUUUCAAGCACAAAAUUCGUAGUAUGAUACCAUUUUAAAAUUUAAUGUAUAGGGCUAAGGAAUGACAAGGCACCCUACAGAGUAUCUGCAUGUUCUUCAGAGCCAUCGUAUAUAAAGCUCUCCCCUAUUUGCAUCCAGCCCUUACAUGAUAUAGAAGAAAGUAAUAAGAAGAUGGUCAAGGAGAUAGAAGAAUUAAACCUAGAUUAUAUAAUCGGAUAUGGCUUUUCUACGUUUAUUCUGUUUCGCUUCCCAAACUCCAGAUACAUACAUAGAUGGAGAUGGAGUUCUUACCAUUUAUAUGCCCGGCUAACAAUGGUUUUGACCAAAUUAUUUCCACCGUCUUUCUAUCCUAAUUUAUUACUUCAUUUUAGAUGAUAUAUUCCCUUGUUAUUGCAACAACAAAAAACACUUAUUUUUGUAUUUUAAGAUCAUUUUUUAAGAUCUUAAAAUACAAAAACCCGAUUACCGAAUUUUAUUGAUUAUAAUAUACAUUCAUCAAUUAGCUUCAAUACGCUGAAUACCAACGGCCAUAUGGUUCUUUCAAUUUGAAUUUGUAAGCAUAGGCACCCCAUGCUAAGCCUUUUUCAUUACCAACACUAAAGUAUAAUUACAAAAUAUGAAAUCAUGAAUUAAAAAUCACUCUUUUCAAAAAAUACUUGUUGUAAACAAGGACAAAAAGAAUCGAAAGAUAAUAAUAAGCAAACGAAAGAAAUGUAAUGGCGUUUGGAGGCUAAUUUGUGACGAAUUGAAAGGGGAUUGUAGGUGAAAAGAAAUUUGGCAAAGCUUCGAACAUUACAAUCAAAUACAAACCAACUUUCAAGCACGAAAUCCGUACUAUGAUACCAUUUUAAAAUUUAAUGUAUAGGGCUAAGGAAUGACAAGGCACCCUACAGAAUACCUGCAGGUUUUUCAGAGCCAUCGUAUAUAAAGUUCUCCCCUAUUUGCAUCCAGCCCUUACAAGAUAUAGAAGAAAGUAAUAAGAAGACGGUUAAGAAGAUAGAAGAACUAAACCUAGAUUUUAUAAUCGGAUAUGGCUUUUCUACAUUUUUUCGGCUGCGCUUCCCAAACCCUAGAUACAUACAUAGAUGGAGAUGAACUUCUUGCCAUUUAUAGGCCCAGCAAACAAUGGUUUUGACCAAAUUAUUUUCACCGCCUUUCUAUCCUAAUUUCUUACUCCAUUUUAGAUGAUAUAUUCCCCUUUUAUUGCAACAACAAAAAAACACUUAUUUUUGUAUUUUAAGAUCAUUUUUUAAGAUCUUAAAUUACAAAAACCCGAUUAUCGAAUUUUACUGAUUAUAAUAUCCAUUCAUCAACUAGUUUCAAUCUGUUGAAUACUAACGGCCAUAUGGUUCUUUCAAUGUGCAUUUGUAAGCAUAGGCAUGCUAAACUUUUUUCAUUACCAACACUAAAGUAUAAUUACAAAAUAUGAAACCAUGAAUCAAAAAUCACACUUUUCAAAAAAUACUUGUUGUAAACAAGAACAUAAACAAUCGAAAGAUAAUAAUAAGCAAACGAAAGAAGUGUAAUGGCAUUUGGAGGCGAAUUUGUGAUGAAUUGAAAGGGGAUUGUAGGCGAAAGGAAAUUUGGCAAAGCGCCGAACAUUACAAUCAAAUACAAACCAACUUUCAAGCAUAAAAUUCGUACUAUGAUGAUACCAUUUUAAAAUUUAAUGUAUAGGACUAAAUAAUGACAAGGCACCCUACAGAGUACCUGCAGGUUUUUCAGAGACAUCGUAUAUAAAGCUCCCCUAUUUGCAUCCAGCCCUUACAUGAUAUAUAGAAGAAAGUAAUAAGAAGAAGGUUAAGGAGAUAGAAGAACUAAACCUAGAUUAUAUAAUCGGAUAUAGCUUUUCUACGUUUUUUCUGCAGUGCUUCCCAAACCCUAGAUACAAUCAUAGAUGCAAAUGGAAAUGGAGUUCUUGCCAUUUAUAGGCCCAGUCAACAAUGGUUUUGACCAAAUUAUUUCCGCCGUCUUUCUAUCCUAAUUUCUUACUCCAUUUUAGAUGAUAUAUUCCAAUGUUUUUGCAACAAAAAAAACGCUUAUUUUUGUAUUUUAAGAUCUUAAAAUACAAAAACCUGAUUACCGUAUUUUAUUGAUUAUAAUAUUAACUCAUCAACUAGCUUCAAUCUGCUGAAUACCAACGACCAUAUGGUUCUUUCAAUGUGCAUUUGUAAGCAUAGGCAUGCUAAGCUUUUUUCAUUACCAACACUAAAGUAUAAUUACAAAAUAUGAAACCAUGAAUCAAAAAUCUCUCUUUUCAAAAAAUAAUUGUUGUAAACAAGGACAUAAAGAAUCGAAAGAUAAUAAUAAGCAAACGAAAGAAAUGUAAUGGCGUUUGGAGGUGAAUUUGUGACGAAUUGAAAGGGGAUUGUAGGCGAAAGGAAAUUUGGCAAAGCGCCGAACAUCACAAUCAAAUACAAACCAACUUUCAAGCACGAAAUCCGUACUAUGAUACCAUCUUAAAAUUUAAUGUAUAGGGCUAAGGAAUGACAAGGCACCCUAUAGAGUACCUGCAGGUUUUUUAGAGCCAUCGUAUAUAAAGCUCUCCCCUAUUUGCAUCCAGCCCUUAAAUGAUAGAGAAGAAAGUAAUAAGAAGAUGGUUAAGAAGAUAGAAGAACUACACCUAGAUUAUAUAAUCGGAUUUGAAUUUUCUACGUUUUUUCGGCUGUUCUUCCCAAACCCUAGAUACAUUCAUAAAUGCAGAUGGAAAUGGAAUUCUUGCCAUUUAUAGGCACAGCAAACAAUGUUUUUGACCAAAUUAUUUCCACCGUCAUUCUAUCCUAAUUUCUUACUCCAUUUUAGAUUAUAUAUUCCCCUGUUAUUGCAACAACAAAAAAACCCUUAUUUUUGUAUUUUAAGAUCUGAAAAUAUAAAAACCCGAUUAUCGAAUUUUAUUGAUUAUAAUAUCCAUUCAUCAACUAGUUUCAAUCUGCUGAAUACCAACGGCCAUAUGGUUCUUUCGAUGUGCAUUUGUAAGCAUAGGCACCCCAUGCUAAGCCUUUUUCAUUACCAACACUAAAGUAUAAUUACAAAAUAUGAAAUCAUGAAUCAAAAAUCACACUUUUCAAAAAAUACUUGUUGUAAACAAGGACAUAAAGAAUCGAAAGAUAAUAAUAAGCAAACGAAAGAAAUGUAAUGGCGUUUGGAGGCAAAUUUGUGAAAAAAUGAAAGGGAUUGUAGGCAAAAGGAAAUCUGGCAAAGCACUGAACAUUACAAUCAAAUACAAACCAACUUUCAAGCAUGAAAUCCGUACUAUGAUACCUUUUUAAAAUGGCUUAAAUAUGAAUUAGUACCCUAAACUAUAGGCCAUAUUCCACUUUGGUGAUCCACCUUUCAAUUUUGUCAAUUACAUGAUUAAACUUUCAAUUUUUUCCAAUUGCAACAAAUUGAAUAUGCCACGUCAGAAAUUGCUGACGUGGCUAAUUGUGUGGGGCCUUAAUAAGCUGAUGUGGUAAAAAAAACAAUUUUUUAAUUAUUAAAUAAACAAAUCUGAUUAUGGGUGGGGCAAAAUCGUCAAAACCAAAUUAAAAUAAAAUAAACUUAUAUAUCAGUACCUUUCGUCCCUUCCAUUAUAAUCGAUCGAUCAAGAUAAAAGCCCAAAAUCGCUCGACAAACCCUAGCUCAACUGAAGCGAAGAAUUUUUGAGAAUCAACCAUUUCGGUACUCAAUCGGUUCAACAAUGAAGUAAGUAUGUGAUUUAGCUUUUCUCUGUUGCUCUGUUACUACCCCAAAAGUAAAAAUCUUACUCAGUUCUCCUGAUAGUCCUACUAUCAUCUGGUGUGAUUUAAAAGAUUUAAGGAAAACAAGCGAGUUAGGGUUUCAGUUAUCUACCCCAAAAAUCCCUCACUGAAAAUGGAAAUGACUGGUAUGGAAGAUGAACUGGAGUUGAGCGAGUGUCUUGAUUCGAUGGGUGAGACUCCAAGGUGCUAUUGUGGGUAUAGAGCUCGAAUGAAGAUAUCUUGGACUAAGAGUAAUUCAGGAAGAAGGUUCUUUGGUUGUCCACACUAGAGCAAGGUAUAGUAAUAUAGUCUUGGUUGGCUGAGUUUUACUCUUAUUCUCUAGGUACUAUAAAAUACACUUGUGUUGAAAUUGUAUUUAUGUUUUGAUUUGGUUUUUAUCAACCAUGCAGGACAAAUUGACAAGCAAACACUGCAACUUCUUUUGUUGGUAUGACCAAGAGAUUUGUAAAAGGUCUAAAGAAGUUUUACCUGAGUUGAAACUUAUGAUAAGUGCUCUAAAUUUAGAAAUAGAAAGAAAGAAGUAUGAAAUUGAGAGAGGCACUGAAAAAAUAAAUGAAUUGGAAAAAAGUAAUGAAAAGCUUCAAAUUGAAUGUGCGGAGCAAAGUGAAGAGGUUGGAAGAUUGAGAGAGGUGAUUGAAUUGUUGAGAAGGAAGGAUAAAAUGUGUAGCACUUCUAUUAAAGCCAUAUUAUUAGGCAUGAUAUUUGUAUUCAUGUUAGGACAUCUGUAUGUGAAUGAUAGUGGUGAAUAAUUGUAAUUUAUAGUUUGAAUUAUGUAUAAAAGAACUAGUUUGCAAUGAAUGGUGAAAGUUGGUUUUAACCUAUGAAACCUUUGCAAUAAAUGUAAUUUUUAGAUUGCAAUGAAUGAUUGUAAUUUUUAGAUUUGCAAUGAAUGAGUUUUAUUGAUGAAAAAAGUUAGUUUGAAUUAUGUAUGGUUCAAGUCAAGCUGCAAUGUUAAAGGUGCACAAAGCACUGCUUUUCAUAUUUAUAACACUGAUUUUUUAACAAACUGCUGCAAACAAGCAUUGUUAUUUCCAUUGUUAUAACAAACUACUGUUAUAAAAAACUGAUGUUAUAACAAACUGCUGCAAACAAGCAUAAUAUUAAAAGCAACAGAUGAUAGAUGCAUAAUAUUAAAAGCAACAGAUGCAUAAUAUUAAAAGCAACAAUGUGCACCACUUCCAAAAAUAAUGACUUUAGCAUUAAAGCAAUUUGUUCAACAUGUAUAGACAAAGCCACAUAGCUGUCAUACAUAAUGUGCACCACUUGCAUAAAUUAAACCAAGCUGUCACAGUUUGCCAAAACAUAAUACUCCCUCCGUUCCAAAUUAAUUGCUCAGUUUUGACUUUUUAAAGUCAAAUUGACCAUUUUUAAAAUUAAUCUUUUAACUAUUUUUGCUAAAAUAUAGGUGAAGAGAUUAUAACCAAAAGAAAGUAUAUACAAUUUAUUACUAAUCUCAAUUUUUAUAAUUUUAGAAAUAUAUUUAUAUAUGCUUAAUUAUUAAUUCUAAAAAUAGUCAAUUUAACUUAAAAAGGUCAAAACUGAGCAAUUAAUUUGGGACGGAGGGAGUACUACAUAACUUAGUGGCUGACAUAAUGUGCACCACUUGCCAAAACAUAAACCAAAAACAUAAGCUAGAGUAUUUAGCUCUAUUCAAAUACUACAUAAUAUUAAUUGGUUGAACUCCUAUAAUACUAAUAAUAUCCAUCAUGCAUAACUUGAACUAGAUAUCCACAAAUUUCUCUUUUGCCUUUGCAUCCUGUCUUGUAUUCCUUCCAUUGAUUAGUUGAUUUGCAGAAAUCCAAUUUCUUCCCCUAGAUUGGAAUGUAGAUGGCCUCAUGGCUGACAUGGAUGUUGAACCUUGAGUAUUCUCUUGGCUUUGAUUGUGAGGAUUUUCUUGACUUACAUUAGAACCAGUUGAAAUCUAAAAAGUAUUAAACAAAAACAAUUAGUAAUGUAUGCUUUAAUAAAGUAAGCAUGCUAGACAACAGAGGUAGUAUUUACCCUAGUAUAUUGUGCCCCACUUGAUAUGUAAGACUCCUCACUUGCAGAUACGUAGACACCAAACCCAUCUCUACCUCCACUUCUCCCUUUCCCUCUCCCUCUCCCUGGUGGCCUACCUCUUCCUCUUCCUUGACCUCUAGUGCCUGGGGGCCUACCCCUUCCUCUUCCAGUCCCUGGUGGCCUACCUCUGCCUCUUCCACUUGCUGCAGCUGUAACAUCUCCACUUGUCUCUGCACUACUUGUUGCUCCUCCACCUCUCUCUGCAGUUCACAGAAUUAAACAGAUGCAUGUUAGUUUUCUUUGCAAAUUAAGUAAAAAAAAUUGUAUCUUUGCAAAUUAGUUGUAGUUACCUUUUUCCUUUUGAAGCUUUUGAAAUGAUGUGUUCUUGCAAGUGCUCAUAUUAUGACCAAUCUGAUUGCACCUCCGACAUGUCAUCAAAAUUCCUUUUUCGACAAUCUUCCACUUGCACCUAUCUUAUGUUCCUCAUGUAGAUAUUUAAUCCUUUGUUUUUUUGGCCUUCCAGGAAGCACUUUAAGUUUUGGGGAUAAUAACUUCUCCUUGCCUGAAGGUUCCCACAAAUCUGGUCCAUUUAUACCUUUCAAUGGAAACUGAUAAGAUGCCAAGUAAGCAUCUCUCUUAAGUAUUGCAUAGACAUAUUCAUCUCGUUCCUCCCUUUGCUCAUAAAUGGCAGCAACUGCAUGUCUACAAAGGAUACCAUCAAGAUCUCAAGCUCUACAAGCACAAGUCUUGUUCACCAAACUUACUGUCCUACCUUCAAGUCCACCAUCCCUUUUUACUUCAUACCCCUCAAAACCAUCCCACUUAGCAUCAUACAAGAAACUAUCAUUCUUUGCAUCCUCUAAUUUUUUCCUAAUUCUAGGAGGCAGUACAUCAUCACCUCUCAACAUCAUUAUCUCGUUUCUUAUCAAUCUCUCCAUAAUAUGCUCUCUCAUAUCCUCAAGCAUCUCAAUUAUAGGCUUUUGUCUUGCAGCAACUAUCCAACCAUUGAAUGUUUUUGACAAAUUGUUGGUGGUGAUAUCACACUUGCACAUGUCACUGAAGAAAGCUUUGCACCACUAUUUUGCAUCUUGUUUUGACAACUGCUCAUGUGCCUCUACACUUAACUGUUUCAGUUCUUCCAUUUGAUCCAUGUAAUGCUUCCUAGUUAAACUAUUAGAUAUUUUUGAGAAUGAGGAUUUCAACUCAAAUCCUUUGUUCUUUUUCCGACAGUUUGCGUAGAUGUGUCUAGCACAACAUCUAUGUUCAGCUUGAGGUAUAAUUGUCUUGAUUGCAUUAUCCAAACCCUACACAGAAACAUGAUUGCAUUAGCUAUAUAUAACAAACAUUUAUAAUAUAGUAAAUGCAAAAUAAAAUAAAAUGAAGUACCUUUUGUUGGUAUGUUAUCACUAUGAGACCAUAUCCUCCACCGAGAUAACCUAGAUCAUCCAUUAAAACAUGCAAAAACCAAGUCCAGCUGUAUGUGUUCUCAACCUCUACUACUGCCCAAGCAAUGGGAUACAUUUGAUUAUUUGCAUCCCUCCCAACUGCACAUAACAACUCACCCUUACAUAUUCCUUUGAGGAAACAUCCAUCAAGGCCAAUUAUUGGCCUACAACCUGCCAACAUUCCUCUUUUCAGAGCAUUAAAUCCUAUAUAAAAUCUUUGAAAUCUCCCUGGUUCCUUUGGUGACUGCCUAUCUACUUUGAUUUCAAAUGUUGAUCCUUUGUUAGCCCUCAUCAAUUCCUUCUCAUAGUCCCAUAACUGUCCAUAUAUAUCAUCAAUUGUUGCAUAAGCACGCUUGAGUGCUAUUUCUCUGGCCCUGUAGCACUGACUCAGUGACGCUCUAACUUUUAAAUGCUUCUUCACUUCCCAUUGGAAUUCUGAGUUUCCAAAAUGGACAUGCUUUUAUUUCAUCAUAAUAGUGCUUGGCCAAAAACCUUGCAUUUACUUGUCUAUUUUUCUGUUUAUUUGUGUACUUGCGAACAUUGUUAUACCUUUUAACAGUAAAAGUGUUCUCAUGUUUCAACACACUUUCCCAUAAAUUACAAGGGCAACCCUGUGCACACUUCACUUGUACCUUAUCCCUUGUAUUUUUUGGAAACCAUACAUUAUACUUUUUUUCAAUUGCAUAUUGUUUCACUGCCUCUUUAAAUUCCGUGGUUAGUAAAUUUCAUUCCAACAAAAAAUUCAACAUUUUUAAUGUCAGUCUUUGGAUUAAACUCAAGAUAUUUUCUCUUUCUUAUAUUGGUUUGUUUCGCCUCAUCAUCUUCAUUCUCACUUGUUUCAGGUGUGUGCAGCUCAUCAAAGUCUAAGUCAAUUUCAUCCCAACCUUUAGCUUGUUCUCUUUGCCCACCUUCAUCAACAGGUCCCUGCCCACCUUCAUCAACAGGUCCCUGUCCAAUUUCAUCAACAUCAACAUCAACAUCAUUUCCUCCUUCAUUUCCUUCUUCAUUUUCUUCAUUUGUUUUUCUUCUUAUGUUCCUCUUUUUCCCUCUCUUUUGUUGCUCUCAAAUUUUGCCUAGCAGCAAGUAACUCUUCAUCACUCUCAACUAACCAGUCACAAUUACUACUUAUAUCAGAGUCUGUAUCUCCUACUCCUUCAUAUUCUAUAUCCUUCUCAUUAUCAGUCUGAAGCACAUCAACCUCAAUCUCUUCUACUCCCUCAUUAUUUGAAUGUUCUUCAAUGUUAACAUCUUUUAAAACAUCAACAAAUCCCUCACUGUCAUCAUCUAUGUUCACAUCAGUACUUACUAUUUCAUGUUCAUGGUCUGAGUAUAUCUCAACAACAGGGUUCUUCUUAGCAAUACUCACACAUGUCAAUAACUCCUUUAUCAUAACCUACUGCCCUAGGCACUUCUGCUAAACUUUGUCCAGGGAUAAGAUAAUAUACAUUUUUCACAUUCUUGUUUCCAAGUAUUGUUGAAACAUAAUCAAUAAUCCCAGGCCCAGUUAUAUAAUUAGGAUCAUAUUUAAACAAUUCACUAACAGCGCCUCCAACAUAAUCAACUAUAUCACCAUUAUUUAUUAGUUUACCACCAUAAUGAAAUCUUAAAGUAAUGACAUCCAUUUCUACAUUAAAAAAAUAUAUAAAAAUAUUUAUAUAUAUAUAUAUAUAUAUAUUUAACAAGUACUAAACAUAAAGUAAACAAAUAGGGACCUCACAUGAGUUAGGGAGAUAAAACUAUGGGGAACUAAGAGGGAAUACUACUUUACAGUUAGGAGACUACAUUUUCUUAGCAAUACAAACAUAAUGCCCAAAUAUCACACAUAUUCAAACCAUAAACAUACACUUACUUCGCUGAAACUUCGAAAGUGGGGACCUAAAGUAGGGAGCUUUGUUGUUUGUGCUUAACGCCGACUCAGCAAAUAUUGCACAUGCACGGUCCUUCUUCGCUGGAAUCGUGAUGAAAUCGUGUCGGAAUGGUUGUCUGGUUCACCAAAUUCUUCGCCAAGAAUCGAUGAUUUACAGAAAUGGCUUCGGGUUUUUUUGAGCGAUUUGGGCUUUUGUCUUGAUCGAUCGAUUGAAAUGGCUGAGAUAUUUAGAAAUAAGUUUGUUUUAUUUUAAUUUGAAAUGUUAAUUUGGUUUUAACGAUUUUGCCCCCACCCAUAAUCAAAUUUGUUUAUUUAAUAAUUAAAAAAUUAUUUAUUUUGCCACAUCAGCUUAUUAAGGCCCCACACAAUUAGCCACGUCAGCAAUUUCUGGCAUGGCAUGUUCAAUUUGUACUAUUUUGAAAAAAUGAAAAGUUUAAUCAUCUAAUUGACAAAAUUGAAAGGUGGAUCAUCAAAGUGGAAUAUGGCCUAUAGUUUAGGGUACUAAUUCAUAUUUAAGCCUUUUAAAAUUUAAUGUAUAAGGCUAAGGAAUGACAAGGCACCCUACAGAGUACUUGCAGGUUUUUCAGAGCCAUCGUAUAUAAAGCUCUCCCCUAUUUGCACCCAGCCCUUACAUGAUAUAGAAGAAAUUAAUAAUAAGAUGGAUAAGGAGAUAGAAGAACUAAACAAAGAUUAUAUAAUCAGAUAUGGCUUUUCUACAUUUUUUCUGUUGCGCUUCCCAAACCAUAGAUACAUAUAUAGAUGGAGAUGGAGUUCUUGCCAUUUAUAGGCCCAGCAAACAAUGGUUUUGACCAAAUUAUUUACACCGUCUUUCUAUCCUAAUUUCUUACUCCAUUUUAGAUGAUAUAUUCCCCUGUUAUUGCAACAACAAACACUUAUUUUGUAUUUUAAGAUCAUUUUUUAAUAUCUUAAAAUACAAAAACCCGAUUACCGGAUUUUAUUGAUAAUAAUAUCCAUUCAUCAACUAGUUGCAAUCUGCUGAAUACCAACGGCCAUAGGGUUCUUUCAAUGUGCAUUUGUAAGCAUAGGCACCCCAUGCUAAGUUUUUUUCAUUGCCAACAUUAAAGUAUAAUUAUAAAAUAUUAAGCCAUGAAUCAAAAAUCACUCUUUUCAAAAAAUACUUGUUGUAAACAAGGACAUAAAGAAUCGAAAGAUAAUAAUAAGCAAACGAAAGAAAUGUAAUGGCGUUUAGUGGCGAAUUUGUGAAGAAUUGAAAGGGGAUUGUAGGUGAAAGGAAAUUUGGAAAAACGCCGAACAUCACAAUCAAAUACAAACCAACUUUCAAGCACGAAAUUCAUACUAUGAUACCAUCUUAAAAUUUAAUGUACAGGACUAAGGAGUGACAAGGAACCCUACAGAGUACCUACAGGUUUUUCAGAGCCAUCGUAUAUAAAGCUCAACCCUAUUUGCAUCCAGCCCUUACAUGAUAUAGAAGAAAAUAAUAAGAAGAUGGGUAAGCAGAUAGAAUAACUAAACCUAGAUUAUAUAUCCGAAUAUGACUUUUCUACGUUUUUUCAGUUGCGCUUCCCAAACCCUAGAUACACAUAGAUGGAGAUGGAGUUCUUGCCAUUUAUAAGCCCAGUCAACAAUGGUUUUGACCAAAUUAUUUCCACCGCCUUUCUAUCCUAAUUUCUUAUUCCAUUUUAGAUGAUAAAUUCCAAUGUUUUUGCAACAAAAAAAAAACACUUAUUUUUGUAUUUUAAGAUCUUAAAAUACAAAAACCUGAUUACCGGAUUUUAUUGAUUGAAUAUUCAUUCAUCAACUAGUUUCAAUCUGUUGAAUACCAACGGCCAUAUGGUUCUUUCAAUGUGCAUUUGUAAGCAUAGGCAUGCUAAGCUUUUUCCAUUACCAACACUAAAGUAUAAUUACAAAAUAUGAAACCAUGAAUCAAAAAUCACUCUUUUCAAAAAAUACUUGUUGUAAACAAGGACAUAAAGAAUCGAAAGAUAAUAAUAAGCUAACGAAAGAAAUGAAAUGGCGUUUGGAGGAGAAUUGUGACAAAUUGAAAGGGGAUUGUAGGCGAAAGGAAAUUUGGAAAAGCGUCGAACAUCACAAUCAAAUACAAAUCAACUUUCAAGCACGAACUUCGUACUAUGAAACCAUCUUAAAAUUUAAUGUAUAGGGCUAAGGAAUGACAAGGCACCCUACAGAGUACCUACAGGUUUUUCAGAACCAUCGUAUAUAAAGGUCUCCCCUAUUUGCAUCCAGCCCUUGCAUGAUAUAGAAGAAAGUAAUAAGAAUAUGGUUAAGGAGAUAGAAGAACUAAAUAUAGAUUAUAUAAUCGGAUAUGGCAUUUCUACGUUUUUUCAGCUAUGUUUCCCAAACCCUAGAUACUUACAUAGAUGGAGAUGGAGUUCUUGCCAUUUAUAGGCCCAGCAAACAAUGGUUUUGACCAAAUCAUUUCCACCGUCUUUCUAUCCUAAUUUCUUACUCCAUUUUAGAUAAUAUAUUCCCCUUUUAUUACAACAAAAAAACACUUAUUUUUGUAUUUUAAGAUCAUAAAAUACAAAAACCUGAUUACCGGAUUUUAUUGAUUAUAAUAUCCAUUCAUCAACUAGCUUCAAUCUGCUGAAUACCAACGGCCAUAUGGUUCUUUCAAUGUGCAUUUGUAAGCAUAGGCACCCCCAUGCUAAACUUUUUGCAUUACCAACACUAAAGUAUAAUUACAAAAUAUGAAACCAUGAAUCAAAAAUCACUCUUUUCAAAAAAUACUUGUUGUAAACAAGGACAUAAAGAAACGAAAGAUAAUAAGCAAACGAAAUAAAUGUAAUUGCGUUUGGAGACGAAAGGAAAUUUGGCAAAGCGCCAAACAUCACAAUCAAAUACAAACCAACUUUCAAGCACGAAAUACGUACUAUGAUACCAUCUUAAAAUUUUAUGUAUAGGGCUAAAGGAAUGACAAGUGACAAGGCACCCUACAGGUUUUUCAAAGCCAUCGUAUAUAAAGCUCUUCCCUAUUUGCAUCCAGCCCUUACAUGAUAUAGAAGAAAGUAAUAAGAUGGUUAAGAAGAUAGAAGAACUAAACCUAGAUUAUAUAAUCGGAUAUUGCUUUUCAACGUUUUUUCGACUGCGCUUCCCAAACCCUAUAUACAUUCAUAAAUGCAGAUGGAGUUCUUGCCAUUUAUAGGCCCAGCAAACAAUUGUUUUGACCAAAUUAUUUCCACCGUCUUUCUAUCCUAAUUUCUUACUCCAUUUUAGAUGAUAUAUUGCCCUAUUAUUGCAACAACAAAAAAACACUUAUUUUUGUAUUUUAAGAUCAUUUUUUAAGAUCUUAAAAUACAAAAACCCGAUUACCGGAUUUUAUUGAUUAUAAUAUCCAUUCAUCAACUAGCUUCAAUCUGCUGAAUACCAACGGCCAUAUGAUUUUUUCAAUGUGCAUUUGUAAGUAUAGGCACCCCAUGUUAAGCCUUUUUCAUUACCAACACUAAAGUAUAAUUACAACAAAUGAAACCAUGGAUCAAAAAUCACGCUUUUCAAAAAAUACUUGUUGUAAACAAGGACAUAAAGAAUCGAAAGAUAAUAAUAAGCAAACGAAAGAAAUGAAAUGGCGUUUGGAGGAGAAUUGUGACAAAUUGAAAGGGGAUUGUAGGCGAAAGGAAAUUUGGAAAAGCGUCGAACAUCACAAUCAAAUACAAAUCAACUUUGAAGCACGAAAUUCGUACUAUGAUACCAUUUUAAAAUUUAAUGUAUAGAGCUAAGGAAUGACAAGCCAUCGUAUAUAAAGCUCUCCCCUAUUUGCAUCGAGCCCUUACAUGAUAUAGAAGAAAGUAAUAAGAAUAUGGUUAAGAAGAUAGAAGAACUAAACCUAGAUUAUAUAAUCGGAUAUGAUUUUUCUAUGUUUUUUUGGCUACGCUUCCCAAACCCUAGAUGCAUUAAUAAAUGCAGAUGGUUUUGACCAAAUUAUUUCCAUCGUCUUUCUAUCCUAAUUUCUUACUCCAUUUUAGAUGAUAUAUUCCCCUUUUAUUGGAACAACAAAAAAACACUUAUUUUUGUAUUUUAAGAUCAUUUUUUAAGAUCUUAAAUUACAAAAACUCGAUUACCGAAUUUUACUGAUUAUGAUAUCCAUUCAUCAACUAGUUUCAAUCUGCUGAAUACCAACGGCCAUAUGGUUCUUUCAAUGUGCAUUUGGAAGUAUAGGCACCCCAUGCUAAGCCUUUUUCAUUACCAACACUAAAGUAUAAUUACAAAAUAUGAAACCAUGAAUCAAAAAUCACACUUUUCAAAAAAUACUUGUAAACAAGGACAUAAACAAUCGAAAGAUAAUAAUAAGCAAACGAAAGAAAUGUAAUGGCGUUUGGAGGCGAAUUUGUGAAGAGUUAAAAGGAGAUUGUAGGCGAAAGGAAACUUAGCAAGGCGCCGGACAUUACAAUCAAAUACAAAACCAACUUUCAAGCACGAAAUCCGUACUAUGAUACCAAUUUAAAAUUUAAUGUAUAUGGCUAGGGAAUGACAAGGCACCCUACAGAGUACCUGCAGGUUUUUCAGAGCCAUCGUAUAUAAAGCUCUCCCCUAUUUGCAUCCAGCCCUUACAUGAUAUAGAAGAAAAUAAUAAGAAGAUGGUUAAGGAGAUAUAAGAACUAAACCUAGAUUAUAUAAUCGGAUAUGGCAUUUUUACGCUUUUUUUCUGUUGCUCUUCCCAAACCCUAGAUACAUACAUAGAUGGAGGUGAACUUCUUGCCAUUUAUAGGCCCAGCAAACAAUGGUUUUGACCAAAUUAUUUCCACUGUCUUUCUAUCCCAAUUUCUUACUCCAUUUUAGAUGAUAUAUUCCCCUGUUAUUGCAACAACAAAAAACACUUAUUUUUGUAUUUUAAGAUCAUUUUUUAAGAUCUUAAAAUACAAAAACCCGAUUACCGAAUUUUAUUGAUUAUAAUAUCCAUUCAUCAAUUAGCUUCAAUCCGCUGAAUACCAACGGCCAUAUGGUUCUUUCAAUGUGCAUUUAGAAGUAUAGGCACCCCAUGCUAAGCCUUUUUCAUUACCAACACUAAAGUAUAAUUACAAAAUAUGAAACCAUGAAUCAAAAAUCACACUUUUCAAAAAAUACUUGUAAACAAGGACAUAAACAAUCGAAAGAUAAUAAUAAGCAAACGAAAGAAAUGUAAUGGCGUUUGGAGGCGAAUUUGUGAAGAGUUAAAAGGAGAUUGUAGGCGAAAGGAAACUUAGCAAGGCGCCGGACAUUACAAUCAAAUACAAAACCAACUUUCAAGCACGAAAUCCGUACUAUGAUACCAAUUUAAAAUUUAAUGUAUAUGGCUAGGGAAUGACAAGGCACCCUACAGAGUACCUGCAGGUUUUUCAGAGCCAUCGUAUAUAAAGCUCUCCCCUAUUUGCAUCCAGCCCUUACAUGAUAUAGAAGAAAAUAAUAAGAAGAUGGUUAAGGAGAUAUAAGAACUAAACCUAGAUUAUAUAAUCGGAUAUGGCAUUUUUACGCUUUUUUUCUGUUGCUCUUCCCAAACCCUAGAUACAUACAUAGAUGGAGGUGAACUUCUUGCCAUUUAUAGGCCCAGCAAACAAUGGUUUUGACCAAAUUAUUUCCACUGUCUUUCUAUCCCAAUUUCUUACUCCAUUUUAGAUGAUAUAUUCCCCUGUUAUUGCAACAACAAAAAACACUUAUUUUUGUAUUUUAAGAUCAUUUUUUAAGAUCUUAAAAUACAAAAACCCGAUUACCGAAUUUUAUUGAUUAUAAUAUCCAUUCAUCAAUUAGCUUCAAUCCGCUGAAUACCAACGGCCAUAUGGUUCUUUCAAUGUGCAUUUGUAAGCAUAGGCACCCCAUGCUAAGCCUUUUUCAUUACCAACACUAAAGUAUAAUUACAAAAUAUGAAACCAUGAAUCAAAAAUCACUCUUUUCAAAAAAUACUUGUUGUAAACAAGGACAUAAAGAAUUGAAAGAUAAUAAUAAGCAAACGAAAGAAAUGUAAUUGCGUUUAUAGGCGAAUUUGUGACGUAUUGAAAAGGGAUUGUAGGCAAAAGGAAAUUUGGCAAAGCGUCGAACAUCACAAUCAAAUACAAACCAACUUUCAAGCACAAAAUUUGUACUAUGAUACCAUUUUAAAAUUUAAUGUAUAGGGCUAAGGAAUGACAAGGCACCCUACAAAGUACCUGCAUGUUCUUCAGAGCCAUCGUAUAUAAAACUCUCCCCUAUUUGCAUCCAGCCCUUACAUGAUAUACAAAAAGUAAUAAGAAGAUGGUUAAAAAGAUAGAAAAACUAAACCUAGAUUAUAUAAUCGGAUGACUUUUCUAUGUUUUUUCAGUUGCGCUUUCCAAACCCUAGAUACAUUUAUAAAUGUAGAUGAAGAUGGAGUUCUUGCCAUUUAUAGGCCAAGCAAACAAUGGUUUUGACCAAAUUAUUUCCACCUGCCUUUUUCUAUCCUAAUUUCUUACUCCAUUUUAGAUGAUAUAUUUCCCUUUUAUUGCAACAACAAAAAAACACUUAUUUUUGUAUUUUAAGAUCAUUUUUUAAGAUCUUAAAUUACAAAAACCCGAUUGCCGAAUUUUACUGAUUAUAAUAUCCAUUCAUCAACUAGUUUCAAUCUGCUGAAUAGCAACGGCCAUAUGGUUCUUUCAAUGUGCAUUUGUAAGCAUAGGCACCCUAUGCUAAGCCUUUUUCAUUACUAAUACUAAUGGAUAAAUUACAAAAUAUGAAUUCAUGAAUCAAAAAUCACACUUUUCAAAAAUUACUUGUUGUAAACAAGAACAUAAACAAUCGAAAGAUAAUAAUAAACAAACGAAAGAAAUGUAAUGGCGUUUGGAGGCGAAUUUGUGAAAAAUUGAAAAGGGAUUGUAGGCGAAAAGAAAUUUGGCAAAGCGUCAAACAUUACAAUCAAAUACAAACCAACUUUCAAGCACGAAAUCCGUACUAUGAUACCAUUUUAAAAUUUAAUGUAUAGGCCUAAGGAAUGACAAGGCACCCUACAGAAUAACAGCAGGUUUUUCAGAGCCAUCGUAUAUAAAGCUCCCCUAUUUGCAUACAGCCCUUACAUGAUAUAGAAGAAAGUAAUAAUAAAAUGGUUAAGGAGAUAGAAGAACUAAACCUAGAUUAUAUAAUCGGAUAUGGCUUUUUUACGUUUUUUCUUCUGCGCUUCCCAAACCCUAGAUACAUGCAUAGAUGGAGAUGGAGUUCUUACCAUUUAUAGGCCCAGCAAACAAUGGUUUUGAUCAAAUUAUUUCCACCGUCUUUCUAUCCUAAGUUCUUACUCCAUUUUAGAUGAUAUAUUCCAAUGUUAUUACAACAACAAAAAAC
RNAcentral lists this long non-coding RNA (19912 nucleotides) under Panax ginseng (ginseng). RNAcentral describes it as "long non-coding RNA (PGIN_LNC010327)". The record is from RNAcentral. Lineage: Eukaryota; Viridiplantae; Streptophyta; Magnoliopsida; Apiales; Araliaceae.